This is a long non-coding RNA of Solanum pennellii, 414 nucleotides long. RefSeq lists it as uncharacterized. Lineage: Eukaryota; Viridiplantae; Streptophyta; Magnoliopsida; Solanales; Solanaceae. The record is from RefSeq and is a predicted model, not a curated record. The transcript is spliced from 2 exons.
CUCCAAGCUUCAUUCCGAAAAUAGGCCCGUACUUAUCUGCCAAGCGGCCCAACAUUUUGUGAGGCAACUGAUCAGAUACAGAUCCAGCGAGAAGGUGGAGAUGGCCGAUAAUAGGCCAUGCUCCGCCAGCUUCAGGCAAAUAUGGGCCAAUUUUCACAGUAUAUUUGGAGCCCAUCAAGUUCUGUUGAACGAUAGAAAGAUAGCCCAAGAUUCGUUGGCAAUAGAGCUAUAGGCCUAUAACGUAGCCGUUUUGGGAAAGGCCCAUAAGGCCCAUAUCGGAGAGAAAUGGAAAAAAUAGUCGUACUCGAAUUACUCUCUAAAAUUAUUGUGUACAAAUGUUUAGACACAUUAGUGUGAAUUACAUGUAUCUAGUAUAAUAGAUAAAUCUAGUCUGCCUCCCUCUUAUCUUGCUCA